Molecule: ribosomal RNA, 499 nt
Filed under: Microserica sp. 834648
Lineage: Eukaryota; Metazoa; Arthropoda; Insecta; Coleoptera; Scarabaeidae
Description: partial 16S large subunit ribosomal RNA
Rfam family: Bacterial large subunit ribosomal RNA
Source: RNAcentral
UUUAAGGUCUAAUCUGCCCUAUGAGGGGUUAAAUGGCCGCGGUAUUUUGACCGUGCAAAGGUAGCAUAAUAAUUAGUUUUUUAAUUGAAAGCUGGUAUGAAUGAUUGGACGAGAAAAUUUCUGUCUCAAUUUAGUUUAAUUAGAAUUUUAUUUUUAAGUAAAAAAGCUUAAAUUUUAUUAAUAGACGAGAAGACCCUAUAGAGUUUUAUAUAAGUUUAUUUAUACAUAGUAGAGAAUUUUUUUUUUAUAUAUUUAAAUUUAUAUUUUGUUGGGGUGAUUGAAAAAUAGGAUAAACUUUUUUUUUGAUAAAAAUUCAUUAAUUUAUGUUUAAUUGAUCCAUUAUUUAUGAUUAAAAGAUUAAAUUACCUUAGGGAUAACAGCGUAAUCUUUUUUUAGAGUUCUUAUCGAAAGAAAGGAUUGCGACCUCGAUGUUGGAUUAAAAUAAAUUAUUGGUGUAGUAGCUAAUUAAUUAGGUCUGUUCGACCUUUAAAAUUUUACA